RNAcentral lists this transfer RNA (85 nucleotides) under Nitrosopumilales archaeon. RNAcentral describes it as "tRNA-Ser". It matches the Rfam family "tRNA". Rfam says of the family: Transfer RNA (tRNA) molecules are approximately 80 nucleotides in length. Lineage: Archaea; Thermoproteati; Nitrososphaerota; Nitrososphaeria; Nitrosopumilales. The record is from RNAcentral.
GCCAGGUUAGCCAAGUGGUAAGGCGGCCGUCUCGAAAACGGCUGUGCAUCCGCACUCAGGGGUUCGAAUCCCUUACCUGGCGCCU